CCCUUCCGUAGGUGAACCUGCGGAAGGAUCAUUG
This 34-nucleotide ribosomal RNA is filed under the name Drepanocladus aduncus. Its description in RNAcentral is "partial 18S ribosomal RNA". Lineage: Eukaryota; Viridiplantae; Streptophyta; Bryopsida; Hypnales; Amblystegiaceae. The record is from RNAcentral. RNAcentral also lists the same sequence under 11 other names.